Long non-coding RNA from Gordionus sp. m RMFG-2023, 476 nucleotides. RefSeq lists it as uncharacterized. NCBI's taxonomy places the organism in Eukaryota, Metazoa, Nematomorpha, Gordioida, Chordodea, Parachordodidae. The record is from RefSeq and is a predicted model, not a curated record. The transcript is spliced from 4 exons.
UAUUAUAUUAAAUCAUAAUCUAUGUAUGAUAGUACUGUUAAAUUUUAAGUUCAUCUUUAUUAAUCUGAUAAUUGUUUUAAAUUUUUUAUAGAUGUUAGGAGCUUAUCAACAAGCACAAAUAAAGAAGGACCAAUUUAUUAGACAAUCAUUUAACUUAUGUUGCCCUCAAUUUUGCUGUCAAAAUAUAGCUAUCACGUAUUCUACUGCUAUUGCUGAAACAUGUUAUUAUACCAAUCAUUGUUUCUAAUUUUCAAAUUUAAGACAACACUGGAGAUUCUUCUCCUAUUGCCAAAACAAGUCAAAUUUUGAAGGCCAUUCAUUAGUGAUUACUCCUAUAUUCAUAGAAUUUCAAAUCUAUUAUCAGCAGCUCAUUAUUCUUCUCCAGAUGGAUUAAUUUCAGAUAAAUAUUCAAUAGUUUUACAAGAAUGGGAUAAGAAUAUAAUGAAAAACAUUAUCCCCAUAAAAUACAAACAAGG